UCCCUGGUAGCUCAGAUGGUAAAGCAUCUGCCUGCAAAGUGAAAGACCCAGGUUCGUUCCCUGGGUUGGGAA
Molecule: transfer RNA, 72 nt
Organism: Ovis aries (sheep)
Lineage: Eukaryota; Metazoa; Chordata; Mammalia; Artiodactyla; Bovidae
Rfam family: tRNA
About the family: Transfer RNA (tRNA) molecules are approximately 80 nucleotides in length. Their secondary structure includes four short double-helical elements and three loops (D, anti-codon, and T loops).
Source: Rfam